CUGCGAGCCGAAGAAGUUCGGUGGGCGCGGCGCACGAUCUCGCUUCCAGAAGUCCUACCGUUAGGGUGUCGCUCCGGCGGGCGGUGUCAUUUGAGGUCAUCUCUUCUCAUAAAUUUGGCUUGUUUGGCGUUGCUUUAUCGAAUGCUUUAAGAACUCGUUUACUCUUUAUCUCGGAUGUGUGAGGUGUUUUGAGGUUGAAAUAUCGGAUAUCAGUUCAGUGAUAAUCUUUAUUAG
RNAcentral lists this unclassified non-coding RNA (234 nucleotides) under Hevea brasiliensis (rubber tree). The record is from RNAcentral. Lineage: Eukaryota; Viridiplantae; Streptophyta; Magnoliopsida; Malpighiales; Euphorbiaceae.